RNAcentral lists this ribosomal RNA (395 nucleotides) under uncultured bacterium. Its description in RNAcentral is "bacterial SSU rRNA". It matches the Rfam family "Bacterial small subunit ribosomal RNA", at positions 37 to 433 of the family's 1533-position model. The record is from RNAcentral.
UGGCGGCAUGCUUUACACAUGCAAGUCGGACGGCAGCGGGGUACUUCGGUCCGCCGGCGAGUGGCGAACGGGUGAGUAAUGCAUCGGAACGUGCCUAUCAGUGGGGGAUAACGCUUCGAAAGGAGUGCUAAUACCGCAUAUUCUCCGAGGAGGAAAGCAGGGGACCUUCGGGCCUUGCGCUGAUAGAGCGGCCGAUGUCGGAUUAGCUAGUUGGCGGGGUAAAGGCCCACCAAGGCGACGAUCCGUAGCUGGUCUGAGAGGAUGAUCAGCCACACUGGAACUGAGACACGGUCCAGACUCCUACGGGAGGCAGCAGUGGGGAAUAUUGGACAAUGGGCGCAAGCCUGAUCCAGCAAUGCCGCGUGUGUGAAGAAGGCCUUCGGGUUGUAAAGCAC